Molecule: unclassified non-coding RNA, 392 nt
Filed under: soil metagenome
Description: partial contains 5.8S ribosomal RNA, internal transcribed spacer 2, and large subunit ribosomal RNA
Rfam family: 5.8S ribosomal RNA (bases 1-122)
Source: RNAcentral
GAUGAAGAACGUAGUGAAAUGCGAUACUUGGUGUGAAUUGCAGAAUCCCGUGAACCAUCGAGUCUUUGAACGCAAGUUGCGCCCGAAGCCAUCAGGUUGAGGGCACGUCUGCCUGGGCGUCACAUAUCGUUGCUCGAUGCCUAUCGCAUUGCGAUAGGACUUAGGGCGAAUGAUGGCUUCCCGUGAGCGUUGUUGCCUCGCGGUUGGUUGAAAAUCGAGUCCUUGGUAGGGUGUGCCAUGAUAGAUGGUGGUCGAGUUAGCACGAGACCGUUCAUGUGCAUGCUCCCCAAAAUAUGGCCUCUGUGACCCACACGCGUCUUUUGACGCUCAUGACGAGACCUCAGGUCAGGCGGGGCUACCCGCUGAAUUUAAGCAUAUCAAUAAGCGGAGGA